UACGUAGGGUGCGAGCGUUAAUCGGAAUUACUGGGCGUAAAGCGUGCGCAGGCGGUUCGCUGUGUCCUGUGUGAAAGCCCCGGGCUUAACCUGGGAAUGGCAUGGGAAGCUGGCGGGCUGGAGUGUGGCAGAGGGGGGUGGAAUUCCGCGUGUAGCAGUGAAAUGCGUAGAGAUGCGGAGGAACACCGAUGGCGAAGGCAGCCCCCUGGGCUAACACUGACGCUCAGGCACGAAAGCGUGGGGAGCAAACAGG
Molecule: ribosomal RNA, 253 nt
Filed under: uncultured bacterium
Lineage: Bacteria
Description: partial 16S ribosomal RNA
Rfam family: Bacterial small subunit ribosomal RNA
Source: RNAcentral